RNAcentral lists this ribosomal RNA (181 nucleotides) under uncultured Rhodotorula. RNAcentral's name for it is "partial 26S ribosomal RNA". It matches the Rfam family "Eukaryotic large subunit ribosomal RNA", at positions 62 to 239 of the family's 3401-position model. Lineage: Eukaryota; Fungi; Basidiomycota. The record is from RNAcentral.
AAACUAACAAGGAUUCCCCUAGUAGCGGCGAGCGAAGCGGGAAGAGCUCAAAUUUAUAAUCUGGCACCUUCGGUGUCCGAGUUGUAAUCUCUAGAAGUGUUUUCCGCGUUGGCCCGCACACAAGUCUGUUGGAAUACAGCGGCAUAGUGGUGAAACCCCCGUAUAUGGUGCGGACGCCCAG